Cinara cedri is the source of this 222-nucleotide non-coding RNA. NCBI's taxonomy places the organism in Eukaryota, Metazoa, Arthropoda, Insecta, Hemiptera, Aphididae. The record is from the annotation of a GenBank genome assembly.
GGAGAACAAUAUUGUUGUCUUGAUUUACAUAAUAUACGGUUAUGGUUUUUCUUUUUCACGUUUUAGUUUUACUUUUUUUCUUUUGUUUUUAAGUCUGUACACAACUUUUUCUACUAGAAAACUUUGUCCAACCGAAACUUUAUACGGGAACUUUCUUGUAGCAUUUUUGAUCUUGUCAGUGCAUCGAAGAAGUCUUUCCUUGUACGGUUUUCUUAAUAAACG